GAUGAACGCUGGCGGCGUGCCUAAUACAUGCAAGUCGAGCGAACAGACGAGGAUCUUGCUCCUCUGACGUUAGCGGCGGACGGGUGAGUAACACGUGGAUAACCUAUCUAUAAGACUGGGAUAACUUCGGGAAACCGGAGCUAAUACCGGAUAAUAUAUUGAACCGCAUGGUUCAAUAGUGAAAGACGGUUUUGCUGUCACUUAUAGAUGGAUCCGCGCUGCAUUAGCUAGUUGGUAAGGUAACGGCUUACCAAGGCGACGAUUCGUAGCCGACCUGAUAGGGUGAUCGGCCACACUAGAACUGAGACACGGUCCAGACUCCUACGGGAGGCAGCAGUAGGGAAUCUUCCGCAAUGGGCGAAAGCCUGACGGAGCAACGCCGCGUGAGUGAUGAAGGUCUUCGGAUCGUAAAACUCUGUUAUUAGGGAAGAACAAAUGUGUAAGUAACUAUGCACGUCUUGACGGUACCUAAUCAGAAAGCCACGGCUAACUACGUG
RNAcentral lists this ribosomal RNA (497 nucleotides) under uncultured bacterium. RNAcentral describes it as "partial 16S ribosomal RNA". It matches the Rfam family "Bacterial small subunit ribosomal RNA", at positions 28 to 507 of the family's 1533-position model. The record is from RNAcentral.